RNAcentral lists this ribosomal RNA (472 nucleotides) under uncultured organism. RNAcentral's name for it is "partial 16S ribosomal RNA". It matches the Rfam family "Bacterial small subunit ribosomal RNA", at positions 333 to 797 of the family's 1533-position model. The record is from RNAcentral.
ACACUCCUACGGGAGGCAGCAGUGGGGAAUUUUGGACAAUGGGCGAAAGCCUGAUCCAGCAAUGCCGCGUGAGUGAAGAAGGCCUUCGGGUUGUAAAGCUCUUUUGUCAGGGAAGAAACGGUGAGAGCUAAUAUCUCUUGCUAAUGACGGUACCUGAAGAAUAAGCACCGGCUAACUACGUGCCAGCAGCCGCGGUAAUACGUAGGGUGCAAGCGUUAAUCGGAAUUACUGGGCGUAAAGCGUGCGCAGGCGGUUUUGUAAGUCUGAUGUGAAAUCCCCGGGCUCAACCUGGGAAUUGCAUUGGAGACUGCAAGGCUAGAAUCUGGCAGAGGGGGGUAGAAUUCCACGUGUAGCAGUGAAAUGCGUAGAUAUGUGGAGGAACACCGAUGGCGAAGGCAGCCCCCUGGGUCAAGAUUGACGCUCAUGCACGAAAGCGUGGGGAGCAAACAGGAUUAGAAACCCGUGUAGUCCC